CCUACGGGUGGCAGCAGUGAGGAAUAUUGGUCAAUGGGCGCGAGCCUGAACCAGCCAAGUAGCGUGAAGGAAGAAUGCCCUGCGUGUUGUAAACUUCUUUUAUAAAGGAAUAAAGUGAGGGACGAGUGCCAUGUUGUGUGUACUUGAUGAAUAAGGAUCGGCUAACUCCGUGCCAGCAGCCGCGGUAAUACGGAGGAUUCGAGCGUUAUCCGGAUUUAUUGGGGUUAAAGGGAGCGCAGGUGGGGUGUUAAGUCAGUGGGGAAAGUUUGGGGCUUAACCGUCAAAUUGCCGUUGAUACUGGCAGCCUUGAGUUGAGUUGAGGUAGGCGGAAUGCGCGGUGUAGCGGUGAAAUGCUUAGAUAUCACGCAGAACCCCGAUUGCGAAGGCAGCUCACUGG
This 397-nucleotide ribosomal RNA is filed under the name uncultured bacterium. RNAcentral describes it as "partial 16S ribosomal RNA". It matches the Rfam family "Bacterial small subunit ribosomal RNA", at positions 338 to 732 of the family's 1533-position model. The record is from RNAcentral.